Molecule: long non-coding RNA, 172 nt
Organism: Anopheles merus
Lineage: Eukaryota; Metazoa; Arthropoda; Insecta; Diptera; Culicidae
Exons: 2
Source: RefSeq, a predicted model, not a curated record
ACCUCCACCGCAGGAACAUGUACUGUUGUCAACACUAUGAUCGCAUCGGUAGACUCGGAAGCUAUCGUCAAACAGCAAAGCCGAAGGCGAAACUCAUCGACCUUCGUGCGCAGUCCCCGCACGUUUUGAUAGUAAACAGAGGCAGUGGAACGGGCAGUGCGAAGCGCAUUAG